AAAUGGCCGSGGUAUUUUGACCGUGCAAAGGUAGCAUAAUCAUUAGUUUUUUAAWUGAAAGCUUGUAUGAAARGUUUGAUGAAAAAUUUUCUGUCUCUAUUUAAAUUUAUUAGAAUUUUAUUUUUAAGAAAAAAAGCUUAAAUAUUUAUAAAAGACGAGAAGACCCUAUAGAACUUUAUAAUUUUUUUUUUAUUAAUAAUUUUAGUCUAGAAUUUUAUAUAAUGAAAAAUUAUUUUAUUGGGGUGAUAGGAAAAUUUAUUAAACUUUUCUUUUAUAUUUUCAUUUAUUUAURAAUUUUUGAUCCUUUAUUUAARAUAAAAAAAAUAAKUUACCUUAGGGAUAACASCGUAAUUUUUUUUUARAKUUCAAAUUAAAAAAARARAUUGCRACCUCRAUKUUGGAUUAAAAUGUAUUAUUGGUGUARAASCUAAUAUGUUAGGUCUGUUCRACCUUUAAAAUUUUACAUGAUCUGAKUUUAAMCCGGUGUAASCCAGGU
This 496-nucleotide ribosomal RNA is filed under the name Panopides anticus. RNAcentral describes it as "partial 16S ribosomal RNA". It matches the Rfam family "Archaeal large subunit ribosomal RNA", at positions 2005 to 2702 of the family's 2987-position model. The record is from RNAcentral. Lineage: Eukaryota; Metazoa; Arthropoda; Insecta; Coleoptera; Curculionidae.